RNAcentral lists this transfer RNA (73 nucleotides) under Ipomoea nil (Japanese morning glory). It matches the Rfam family "tRNA". From Rfam's summary of the family: Transfer RNA (tRNA) molecules are approximately 80 nucleotides in length. Their secondary structure includes four short double-helical elements and three loops (D, anti-codon, and T loops). Further hydrogen bonds mediate the characteristic L-shaped molecular structure. tRNAs have two regions of fundamental functional importance: the anti-codon, which is responsible for specific mRNA codon recognition, and the 3' end, to which the tRNAs corresponding amino acid is attached (by aminoacyl-tRNA synthetases). tRNAs cope with the degeneracy of the genetic code in two manners: having more than one tRNA (with a specific anti-codon) for a particular amino acid; and 'wobble' base-pairing, i.e. permitting non-standard base-pairing at the 3rd anti-codon position. The record is from Rfam by way of RNAcentral. Lineage: Eukaryota; Viridiplantae; Streptophyta; Magnoliopsida; Solanales; Convolvulaceae.
GACUCCAUAGCCCAAUAGAUAAGGUACUGGUCUACGAAACUAGAGAUUUUUGGUUCGAUCCUCAGUGGAGUCU